This 1511-nucleotide ribosomal RNA is filed under the name uncultured Bordetella sp. RNAcentral's name for it is "partial 16S-23S ribosomal RNA intergenic spacer". It matches the Rfam family "Bacterial small subunit ribosomal RNA". The record is from RNAcentral. Lineage: Bacteria; Pseudomonadati; Pseudomonadota; Betaproteobacteria; Burkholderiales; Alcaligenaceae.
AGUUCCGAUCAUGGCUCAGAUUGAACGCUGGCGGGAUGCUUUACAUGCAAGUCAACGGCAGCACGGACUUCGGUCUGGUGGCGAGUGGCGAACGGGUGAGUAAUGUAUCGGAACGUGCCUAUUAGCGGGGGAUAACUACGCGAAAGCGUAGCUAAUACCGCAUACGCCCCUUCGGGGAAAGCGGAGGACCUUCAGGCCUCGCACUAUUAAACGGCCGAUAUCGGAUUAGCUAGUUGGUGGGGUAACGGCUCACCGAGGCGACGAUCCGUAGCUGGUUUGGGAGGACGACCAGCCACACUGGGACUGAGACGGCCCAGACUCCUACAGGGAGGCAGCAGUGGGGAAUUUUGGACAAUGGAAACCCUGAUCCAGCCAUCGCGACACCGAUGAAGGCCUUCGGGUUGUAAAGCACUUUUGGCAGGAAAGAAACGGCACGGGAUAAUACCCCACGUGCAACUGACGUACCGCAGAAUAAGCACCGGCUAACUACGUGCCAGCAGCCGCAGUGUACGUAAGUGCAAGCGUUAAUCGGAAUUACUGGGCGUAAAGCGUGCGCAGGCGGUUCGGAAGAAGAUGUGAAAUCCCAGAGCUUAACUUUGGAACUGCAUUUUUUUUUUUUUUUUUUUUUUUUUUUUUUUUUUUUUUUAACUACCGAGCUAGAGUGUCAGAGGGAGGUGGAAUUCCGCGUGUAGCAGUGAAAUGCGUAGAUAUGCGGAGGAACACCGAUGGCGAAGGCAGCCUCUGGGAUAACACUGACGCUCAUGCACGAAAGCGUGGGGAGCAAACAGGAUUAGAUACCCUGGUAGUCCACGCCCUAAACCACGAUGUCAACUAGCUGUUGGGGCCUUCGGGCCUUGGUAGUACAGCUAACGCGUGAAGUUGACCGCCUGGGAAGUACGGUCGCAAGACAAAACUCAAAAGGAAUUGACGGGGACCCGCACAAGCGGUGGAUGAUGUGGAUUAAUUCGGUAGCGCGAAAAACGCACCUACCCUUGACAUGUCUGGAAUCCCGAAGAGAUUUGGGAGUGCUCGCAAAGAAACCGGAACACAGGUGCUGCAUGGCUGUCGUCAGCUCGUGUCGUGAGAUGUUGGGUUAAGUCCCACCAACGAGCGCAGCCCUUGUCAUUAGUUGCGCUACGAAGGCACUCUAAUGAGACUGCCGGUGACAAACCGGAGGGAAGGUGGGGAUGACGUCAAGUCCUCAUGGCCCUUAUGGGUGGGGCUUCACACGUCAUACAAUGGUGCGGGACAAGAGGGUCGCUAACCCGCGAGGGGGCGAAUCCAGAAGCGAUCGUAGUCCGGAUCGCAGUCUGCAACUCAGCUGCGUAGAAGUCGGAAUCCGCUAGUAAUCGCGGAUCAGCAUGUCGCGGUGAAUACGUUCGGGUCUUGUACACACCACCCGUCACACCAUGGGGUGGGUUUUUACCAGAAGUAGUUAGCCUAUAACCGUAAGGAGGGCGAUUACCACGGUAGGAUUCGCCGUGACUGAGGUGAAGUCGUAACAAGAGGUA